AGCGAACGCUGGCGGCAUGCCUAACACAUGCAAGUCGAACGGCAGCACCGUAAGAGCUUGCUCUUACGGGCGGCGCGUGGCGGACGGUUGAGGAAUACACCGGAAUCUACUCUUUCGUGGGGGCUAAUGUAGGGAAACUUCCGCUAAUACCGCAUUCGACCUCCGUGUGUAAGCAGGGGUUCUUCUGACUUUGCGCGAGUGUAUGAGCCGAGGUCGGAUUCGCUAGUUGGCGGGGUAAAGGCCCAGCUAGGCGACGAUCCGUAGCUGGUCUGAGAGGGAGGUCAGCCACACUGGAUCAGAGACACGGUCCCGACUCCUACGGGAGGCAGCGGUGGAGAAUAUUGGGGAAGGGGCGCAAGCCUGAUCCAGGCAUACCGCGUGGGUGAAGAAGGCCUUCGGGUUGUAAAGCCCUGUUGUUGGGAGAGAAGAGCAGCAGGUUAAUACCGCGCUGUUCUGACGGUACCGAAAGAAUAAGCACCGGCUAACUUCGU
This 491-nucleotide ribosomal RNA is filed under the name uncultured bacterium. RNAcentral's name for it is "partial 16S ribosomal RNA". It matches the Rfam family "Bacterial small subunit ribosomal RNA", at positions 29 to 506 of the family's 1533-position model. The record is from RNAcentral.